GACGAACGCUGGCGGCGUGCUUAACACAUGCAAGUCGAACGGAAAGGCCCUGCUUUUGUGGGGUGCUCGAGUGGCGAACGGGUGAGUAACACGUGAGUAACCUGCCCUUGACUUUGGGAUAACUUCAGGAAACUGGGGCUAAUACCGGAUAGGAGCUCCUGCUGCAUGGUGGGGGUUGGAAAGUUUCGGCGGUUGGGGAUGGACUCGCGGCUUAUCAGCUUGUUGGUGGGGUAGUGGCUUACCAAGGCUUUGACGGGUAGCCGGCCUGAGAGGGUGACCGGCCACAUUGGGAUGGAUAUCCGCCCGAGUCCCAUCGGGGGGGAAGAAGGGGGAUAUUUUGCAAAUGGGGGGGAGGCUUAAGGCAGAACCGCCGGGGGGGGAGGGGGGGCUUUGGGUUUGAAACCCUCUUUCCCCUGUGAGGAAGGGGGGGGGAGGUAAGGGGGAAAAGAGGCCCCGAAUAAGUCGGUC
This 468-nucleotide ribosomal RNA is filed under the name uncultured bacterium. RNAcentral's name for it is "partial 16S ribosomal RNA". It matches the Rfam family "Bacterial small subunit ribosomal RNA", at positions 28 to 507 of the family's 1533-position model. The record is from RNAcentral.